This 467-nucleotide ribosomal RNA is filed under the name uncultured Bacillus sp. RNAcentral's name for it is "bacterial SSU rRNA". It matches the Rfam family "Bacterial small subunit ribosomal RNA", at positions 60 to 532 of the family's 1533-position model. The record is from RNAcentral. Lineage: Bacteria; Bacillati; Bacillota; Bacilli; Caryophanales; Bacillaceae.
AGUCGAGCGGAUGACAGAGGAGCUUGCUCCUCUAGAUUCAGCGGCGGACGGGUGAGUAACACGUGGGCAACCUGCCCUGUAGAUUGGGAUAACUCCGGGAAACCGGGGCUAAUACCGAAUAAUCCUUCGGACCUCAUGGUCCGAUGUUGAAAGGCGGCAUCUCGCUGUCACUACAGGAUGGGCCCGCGGCGCAUUAGCUAGUUGGUGAGGUAACGGCUCACCAAGGCCACGAUGCGUAGCCGACCUGAGAGGGUGAUCGGCCACACUGGGACUGAGACACGGCCCAGACUCCUACGGGAGGCAGCAGUAGGGAAUCUUCCACAAUGGACGAAAGUCUGAUGGAGCAACGCCGCGUGAGUGAAGAAGGCCUUAGGGUUGUAAAGCUCUUUUACCCGGGAUGAUAAUGACAGUACCGGGAGAAUAAGCUCCGGCUAACUCCGUGCCAGCAGCCGCGGUAAUACAAGGGC